Molecule: transfer RNA, 102 nt
Organism: Rhinocladiella mackenziei CBS 650.93
Lineage: Eukaryota; Fungi; Ascomycota; Eurotiomycetes; Chaetothyriales; Herpotrichiellaceae
Rfam family: tRNA
About the family: Transfer RNA (tRNA) molecules are approximately 80 nucleotides in length. Their secondary structure includes four short double-helical elements and three loops (D, anti-codon, and T loops).
Source: Rfam
UCCUCUAUAGUGUAGUGGUUAACAUAGUUGGUUUUCAAUUUGGAAACUGAUUUAUUCUGGUUGAAUACCCAACAGCCUCGGGUUCGAUUCCCGAUAGAGGAA